Molecule: microRNA precursor, 76 nt
Organism: Ailuropoda melanoleuca (giant panda)
Lineage: Eukaryota; Metazoa; Chordata; Mammalia; Carnivora; Ursidae
Product: microRNA 375
Source: Ensembl
GCUCCCGCCCCGCGACGAGCCCCUCGCACAAACCGGACCUGAGCGUUUUGUUCGUUCGGCUCGCGUGAGGCAGGGG